This 204-nucleotide long non-coding RNA is filed under the name Fukomys damarensis (Damara mole-rat). RNAcentral's name for it is "lncRNA (ENSFDAG00000022975.1)". Lineage: Eukaryota; Metazoa; Chordata; Mammalia; Rodentia; Bathyergidae. The record is from RNAcentral.
CUCCUGGUAGCCAAACUGUCCCUGGGAAGCUCACAGAAAUGGACACAAACAGUGGUUCCAAACCAGGACCAUUCUCACAACGUGCCGUUCACCAUUUCCGUCUCCCAGAAGAUCACCUUACCUCUGCAUCAUGACUGGAAAGGAAGCAGGAGGAACCCUGCCGACUCCCCCAACCUGCACACAUAUGUGUAACUGCUGUCUUAC